GGUCAGCUCAGCUAUAUGAAAACACGUAACAAAAUCUAUAAUUUAGGAACAUCGAUCAUAUCGGCUAAAAUAAGACUGAAAGCCGAUUGGGAGAUCUUUGGACCAAGUAAUUAUUGGCAACGUACAGCGCUUUAUCCACUAUUGAAUAAGUGAAUCAGAGACUCUAAUUUGUUGCCUUUACCAAAUCAAAAUACAUAUAC
Molecule: small RNA, 200 nt
Filed under: Arabidopsis thaliana (thale cress)
Lineage: Eukaryota; Viridiplantae; Streptophyta; Magnoliopsida; Brassicales; Brassicaceae
Description: ATSL076020
Source: RNAcentral